UACGUAGGGUGCAAGCGUUAAUCGGAAUUACUGGGCGUAAAGCGUGCGCAGGCGGUUUUGUAAGUCUGUCGUGAAAGCCCCGGGCUUAACCUGGGAAUUGCGAUGGAGACUGCAAGGCUUGAAUCUGGCAGAGGGGGGUAGAAUUCCACGUGUAGCAGUGAAAUGCGUAGAGAUGUGGAGGAAUACCGAUGGCGAAGGCAGCCUCCUGGGAUAACACUGACGCUCAUGCACGAAAGCGUGGGGAGCAAACAGG
This 253-nucleotide ribosomal RNA is filed under the name uncultured bacterium. Its description in RNAcentral is "partial 16S ribosomal RNA". It matches the Rfam family "Bacterial small subunit ribosomal RNA", at positions 524 to 776 of the family's 1533-position model. The record is from RNAcentral.